GCGGACGUGGCGAAACUGGUAGACGCACCAGAUUUAGGUUCUGGCGUUUCACGACGUGGGGGUUCGAGUCCCCCCGUCCGCA
Molecule: transfer RNA, 82 nt
Filed under: alpha proteobacterium U9-1i
Lineage: Bacteria; Pseudomonadati; Pseudomonadota; Alphaproteobacteria
Rfam family: tRNA
About the family: Transfer RNA (tRNA) molecules are approximately 80 nucleotides in length.
Source: Rfam by way of RNAcentral